CAAUCUGUUCUUGUAUUUCCUAAUCUUGGUUGUUCACUUGCUUUCAUUCACAGGGUAAAGAGGUCAACCUCUUCCAAUACACAAUUGCUGAGGUGUUCAAAAAUCUUAGUGAGAGAGGACAUUGACUGUGCGAGAAUGGAACACAACAAGUUUUGUGUGUGUGUGUGUGUGCAUUACCGAAACGUCGCACGACAUGGUGAAAGUUAUGGAAUUUUUGCUGUAACCGCCCGGAUGAAGAUGACAGGGCU
Molecule: long non-coding RNA, 248 nt
Organism: Triticum dicoccoides
Lineage: Eukaryota; Viridiplantae; Streptophyta; Magnoliopsida; Poales; Poaceae
Exons: 3
Source: RefSeq, a predicted model, not a curated record